AUUGAACGCUGGCGGCAGGCCUAACACAUGCAAGUCGAGCGGAUGAAGGGAGCUUGCUCCUGGAUUCAGCGGCGGACGGGUGAGUAAUGCCUAGGAAUCUGCCUGGUAGUGGGGGAUAACGUCCGGAAACGGGCGCUAAUACCGCAUACGUCCUGAGGGAGAAAGUGGGGGAUCUUCGGGCCUCACGCUAUCAGAUGAGCCUAGGUCGGAUUAGCUAGUUGGUGGGGUAAAGGCCUACCAAGGCGACGAUCCGUAACUGGUCUGAGAGGAUGAUCAGUCACACUGGAACUGAGACACGGUCCAGACUCCUACGGGAGGCAGCAGUGGGGAAUAUUGGACAAUGGGCGAAAGCUUGAUCCAGCCAUGCCGCGUGUGUGAAGAAGGUCUUCGGAUUGUAAAGCACUUUAAGUUGGGAGGAAGGGCAGUAAGUUAAUACCUUGCUGUUUUGACGUUACCAACAGAAUAAGCACCGGCUAACUUCGUG
Molecule: ribosomal RNA, 484 nt
Filed under: uncultured bacterium
Lineage: Bacteria
Description: partial 16S ribosomal RNA
Rfam family: Bacterial small subunit ribosomal RNA
Source: RNAcentral